Molecule: ribosomal RNA, 2180 nt
Filed under: human gut metagenome
Description: bacterial LSU rRNA
Rfam family: Bacterial large subunit ribosomal RNA
Source: RNAcentral
GCUAAAUACUCCCGAGAGACCGAUAGCGAACCAGUACCGUGAGGGAAAGGUGAAAAGCACUUCGAACAGAAGAGUGAAAUAGUUCCUGAAACCGUGCGCCUACAAGCGGUCGGAGCUCGUUAAUGAGUGACGGCGUGCCUUUUGCAUAAUGAACCUACGAGUUGCCUUUGCCGGCAAGGUUAAGUGUGACGACACACGUAUCCGAAGCGAAAGCGAGUCUGAAGAGGGCGUAUAGUCGGCAGUGGCAGACGCGAAACCAAGUGAUCUACCCUUGGCCAGGUUGAAGGCUGGGUAACACCAGCUGGAGGACCGCACCAAUAAGCGUUGAAAAGCUUCUGGAUGAGCUGAGGGUAGGGGUGAAAGGCUAAUCAAACUUGGAGAUAGCUCGUACUCCCCGAAAUGCAUUUAGGUGCAGCCUUGCGGGUUACUGAUGUGAGGUAGAGCGACUGAUAAGAUGCGAGGGCUUCACCGCCUAUCAAGUCUUGACAAACUCCGAAUGCGCAUCAGUUCUACCGCAGGAGUGAGGGCAUGGGUGCUAAGGUCCGUGCCCGAGAGGAGAAGAAUCCGGACCACCUGCUAAGGUCCCGAAAUGACAGCUAAGUUAAACUAACGAAGUCUGACUGCUAAGACAGCUAGGAUGUUGGCUUGGAAGCAGCCAUUCAUUUAAAGAGUGCGUAACAGCUCACUAGUCGAGGAGUCGGGCGUGGAUAAUAAUCGGGUAUGAAGUUGUCUACCGAAGCAGUGGGAUCAUUGAUAUGAUCGGUAGGGGAGCAUUCCAGUCAGCGUCGAAGGCGUACCGUGAGGUAUUCUGGAGCGUCUGGAAAAGCAAAUGUAGGUAUAAGUAACGAUAAAGGGGGCGGGAAACCCCCUCGCCGAAAGACUAAGGUUUCCUGAUCAACGCUAAUCGGAUCAGGGUCAGUCGGGUCCUAAGGCUCAGCCGAACGGCGAUGCCGAUGGCAGAAACGGUUAAUAUUCCGUUACUACCUUCAGGAGUGACGUGGAGACGCAGUAGUGACAGUGCCGCCAUCUGACGGAAUAGAUGGUUGAAGGGUGUAGGAGUCGAUCAUGGCAGGCAAAUCCACCAUGAGAUCCGAACCUGAUAGUAUGCCGCGUCCUUCGGGACAAGGCAAUAGUGCGCGUAAGCAUGCUGCCGAGAAAAUCCGCUAAACUUAAUCCUGCAGGUACCCGUACCGCAAACGGACACACGUAGUCGGGAUGAAUAUUCUAAGGCGCUUGAGUGAUUCACGGUUAAGGAACUAGGCAAACUGACCCUGUAACUUCGGGAUAAAGGGUCCCUACCCUUUUAUGGGAGGGCGCAGAGAAUCGGUCCAGGCAACUGUUUAACAAAAACACAGGGCUGUGCCAAAUCGAAAGAUCCAGUAUACAGCCUGACACCUGCCCGGUGCUGGAAGGUUAAGAGGAGAUGUCAUCGAUAAGAGAAGCGUUGAAUUGAAGCCCCAGUAAACGGCGGCCGUAACUAUAACGGUCCUAAGGUAGCGAAAUUCCUUGUCGGGUAAGUUCCGACCUGCACGAAUGGUGUAAUGAUCUGGACGCUGUCUCAACCGUGAGCUCAGUGAAAUUGUAGUAUCGGUGAAGAUGCCGAUUACCCGCGAUGGGACGAAAAGACCCCGUGAACCUUUACUAUAGCUUAUCAUUGAAUCUGGGCACGUGAUGUGUAGGAUAGGUCGGAGGCUUUGAAGCAGGUACGCCAGUAUUUGUGGAGCCGCUGUUGAAAUACGACCCUUUAUUUGUUUGGAUUCUAACCCGUGGAACGGGGACAUUGAUUGGUGGGUAGUUUGACUGGGGUGGUCGCCUCCAAAAGCGUAACGGAGGCUUCUAAAGGUGCCCUCAGACCGAUUGGUAACCGGUCGCAGAGUGUAAUGGCAUAAGGGCGCUUGACUGGGAGAGAUACAACUCGAUCAGGUAGGAAACUAGAGCAUAGUGAUCCGGUGGUUCCGCAUGGAAGGGCCAUCGCUCAAAGGAUAAAAGGUACUCCGGGGAUAACAGGCUGAUCAUUCCCAAGAGCUCAUAUCGACGGAAUGGUUUGGCACCUCGAUGUCGGCUCGUCACAUCCUGGGGCUGGAGAAGGUCCCAAGGGGUGGGCUGUUCGCCCAUUAAAGUGGCACGCGAGCUGGGUUCAGAACGUCGUGAGACAGUUCGGUCUCUAUCUAUCGUGGGCG